RNAcentral lists this ribosomal RNA (418 nucleotides) under uncultured bacterium. RNAcentral's name for it is "bacterial SSU rRNA". It matches the Rfam family "Archaeal small subunit ribosomal RNA", at positions 455 to 871 of the family's 1478-position model. The record is from RNAcentral.
GUGCCAGCCGCCGCGGUAACACCGGCAGCUCAAGUGGUAGCCGCUUUUAUUGGGCCUAAAGCGUCCGUAGCCGGUCUGAUAAGUCUCUGGUGAAGUCCCACAGCUUAACUGUGGGAAUUGCUGGAGAUACUAUCAUGACUCGAGGCCGGGAGAGGCUGGAGGUACUCCCAGGGUAGGGGUGAAAUCCUAUAAUCCUGGGAGGACCACCUGUGGCGAAGGCGUCCAGCUGGAACGGACCUGACGGUGAGGGACGAAAGCCAGGGGCGCGAACCGGAUUAGAUACCCGGGUAGUCCUGGCCGUAAACGAUGCGGACUUGGUGUUGGGACGGCUUUGAGCUGUCCCAGUGCCGAAGGGAAACUGUUAAGUCCGCCGCCUGGGAAGUACGGCCGCAAGGCUGAAACUUAAAGGAAUUGACGG